GGAUGGGUUACUUAUUUUAACUCACUAGUCAUGUCAAUGAAACGGCCGACUUCCUCUUUUCCUCAAGAUUGUGCAACAGCUCUGCAGCAGCUUAAAUCAGUUUCUCUGUCUAGUUUUUCUAACUAUUGAAUAUAAAAACGCUCCGUAUAGUGUCCUAGUAGUGUCCUAGUAGUGUCCUAGUGGUGUCCUAGUAGUGUCCUUUAAAUUCUCAUUUAAAAUGAGCUUGUAGCUGGUUGUGUACCUCACUACGGUUAGAAAGAGUCCUCGUUGGUGUUUAAACUACAUUUCCUUUAUGAGUUAUUGAUCUGGGAAGUUCAAAUCUGUCAAUAUGUUUCCAGUUUUAUUGAACUAGUUCAGUUCUGCAUUACUCUUCCACGAUGCAAAAGUGAAUAAACUCUUCAUCUGUAGAACGGUGUUGAAUAUGUUUACCAGUAUUAUUUUGGCUCGUGGUACACACAUUCACCAGGAUGUUAAUUAUCUCCUCAUUAUUUAGGAUUGCUGAUACUAGAUGUACUGCUGACUCGCUCAUACUGACACACACAUCUAGCAGCACCAACAUCUGUACGGAUAAUGACCUAAAACACAAGACCAUAUAUUCAGAUUCACUCAAUAUAUUCAGUGUUAGUUCAAUAUUCUCAAAUUUCACAUUAUAUAUAUAAUAAUUUCCUGAACGGCAUGCCAUAUAUAUAUAUACAUAUAUAUAUAUAUAUGUAUAUAUAUAUAUAUAUAUAUUUGUGUGUGUGUGUUGGUGUGAGGAUUGGUGGACAGCAUCGAUGACAUCAGAGGACGAGGGAGGGGAAAAUGAACGCUGCUGAAGCGACACCAGUCAUCACCAGGGAAAUCCCCAGAUGCUGGAGAAUUACAACCGAGUUAAUCAUGAAAACACUGAAACUCACUGAACCUCUGGAACUGGAACUGGAAACAGUUUGCUGCGUGAAAGUUAAACCUCAAGUUAACCUCAAGGGAGGAAACGGGAAACCACCACCUGCAGCAGGAUUGUUGGGUGUUGCUCAGAGUCACGUAGUUUGUUUCUGUGGUGCGACAGAAGAGACUCAAGGAUGAAGAUGAUCUGCAGCAUCCUGCUGCUCCUCAGUCUGACCUCCUGUGUCUCU
Sebastes umbrosus (honeycomb rockfish) is the source of this 1112-nucleotide long non-coding RNA. RefSeq lists it as uncharacterized. The record is from RefSeq and is a predicted model, not a curated record. The transcript has 4 exons. Lineage: Eukaryota; Metazoa; Chordata; Actinopteri; Perciformes; Sebastidae.